CCUACGGGAGGCAGCAGUAGGGAAUCUUCGGCAAUGGACGGAAGUCUGACCGAGCAACGCCGCGUGAGUGAAGAAGGUUUUCGGAUCGUAAAGCUCUGUUGUAAGAGAAGAACGAGUGUGAGAGUGGAAGGUUCACACUGUGACGGUAUCUUACCAGAAAGGGACGGCUAACUACGUGCCAGCAGCCGCGGUAAUACGUAGGUCCCGAGCGCUGUCCGGAUUUAUUGGGCGUAAAGCGAGCGCAGGCGGUUAGAUAAGUCUGAAGUUAAAGGCUGUGGCUUAACCAUAGUACGCUUUGGAAACUGUUUAACUUGAGUGCAAGAGGGGAGAGUGGAAUUCCAUGUGUAGCGGUGAAAUGCGUAGAUAUAUGGAGGAACACCGGUGGCGAAAGCGGCUCUCUGGCUUGUAACUGACGCUGAGGCUCGAAAGCGUGGGGAGCAAACAGGAUUAGAUACCCUGGUAGUCCACGCCGUAAACGAUGAGUGCUAGGUGUUAGACCCUUUCCGGGGUUUAGUGCCGCAGCUAACGCAUUAAGCACUCCGCCUGGGGAGUACGACCGCAAGGUUGAAACUCAAAUGAAUUGACGGA
This 588-nucleotide ribosomal RNA is filed under the name uncultured bacterium. Its description in RNAcentral is "bacterial SSU rRNA". It matches the Rfam family "Bacterial small subunit ribosomal RNA", at positions 338 to 917 of the family's 1533-position model. The record is from RNAcentral.